RNAcentral lists this ribosomal RNA (253 nucleotides) under uncultured bacterium. RNAcentral's name for it is "partial 16S ribosomal RNA". It matches the Rfam family "Bacterial small subunit ribosomal RNA", at positions 524 to 776 of the family's 1533-position model. The record is from RNAcentral.
UACGAAGGGGGCUAGCGUUGCUCGGAAUCACUGGGCGUAAAGCGCACGUAGGCGGCUUUUUAAGUCAGGGGUGAAAUCCUGGAGCUCAACUCCAGAACUGCCUUUGAUACUGGGAAGCUUGAGUCCGGGAGAGGUGAGUGGAACUCCGAGUGUAGAGGUGAAAUUCGUAGAUAUUCGGAAGGACACCAGUGGCGAAGGCGGCUCACUGGUCCGGUACUGACGCUGAGGUGCGAAAGCGUGGGGAGCAAACAGG